This 361-nucleotide ribosomal RNA is filed under the name uncultured bacterium. RNAcentral describes it as "bacterial SSU rRNA". It matches the Rfam family "Bacterial small subunit ribosomal RNA", at positions 10 to 353 of the family's 1533-position model. The record is from RNAcentral.
AGUUUGAUCCUGGCUCAGAACGAACGCUGGCGGCGUGCUUAACACAUGCAAGUCGAACGCGAAAGUAUCCUUCGGGGUGCGAGUAGAGUGGCGCACGGGUGAGUAACGCGUAGAUAAUCUACCUCUAUAUUUGGGAUAACCCGCCGAAAGGCAGGCUAAUACCGGAUACACUUAUUAGGUUGUUGGAUUUAAUGAGGAAAGGUGACCUCUUCUUGAAAGUUACCGUAUAGAGAUGAGUUUGCGUACCAUUAGCUAGUUGGUGGGGUAAAGGCCUACCAAGGCGACGAUGGUUAGCGGGUCUGAGAGGAUGAUCCGCCACACUGGAACUGAAACACGGACCANACUCCUACGGGAGGCAGCA